Molecule: ribosomal RNA, 660 nt
Filed under: Salmonella enterica subsp. enterica serovar Typhimurium
Lineage: Bacteria; Pseudomonadati; Pseudomonadota; Gammaproteobacteria; Enterobacterales; Enterobacteriaceae
Description: bacterial LSU rRNA
Rfam family: Bacterial large subunit ribosomal RNA
Source: RNAcentral
GGGUUGUGAGGUUAAGCGACUAAGCGUACACGGUGGAUGCCCUGGCAGUCAGAGGCGAUGAAGGGCGUGCUAAUCUGCGAUAAGCGCCGGUAAGGUGAUAUGAACCGUUAUAACCGGCGAUACCCGAAUGGGGAAACCCAGUGUGACUCGUCACACUAUCAUUAACUGAAUCCAUAGGUUAAUGAGGCGAACCGGGGGAACUGAAACAUCUAAGUACCCCGAGGAAAAGAAAUCAACCGAGAUUCCCCCAGUAGCGGCGAGCGAACGGGGAGGAGCCCAGAGCCUGAAUCAGCAUGUGUGUUAGUGGAAGCGUCUGGAAAGGCGCGCGAUACAGGGUGACAGCCCCGUACACAAAAGCGCAUGUGCUGUGAGCUCGAUGAGUAGGGCGGGACACGUGGUAUCCUGUCUGAAUAUGGGGGGACCAUCCUCCAAGGCUAAAUACUCCUGACUGACCGAUAGUGAACCAGUACCGUGAGGGAAAGGCGAAAAGAACCCCGGCGAGGGGAGUGAAAAAGAACCUGAAACCGUGUACGUACAAGCAGUGGGAGCCCCACCACCAAAGCAUUCUCUGGUGUUGAAGGCCCUGCAAAGCAGCAUCGCGGUGGCGGAGCGUCGUUUGCGACGCCCAACACACAAAACAAGCGGUGAAUGCUUUGGGGU